RNAcentral lists this ribosomal RNA (253 nucleotides) under uncultured bacterium. RNAcentral's name for it is "partial 16S ribosomal RNA". It matches the Rfam family "Bacterial small subunit ribosomal RNA", at positions 524 to 776 of the family's 1533-position model. The record is from RNAcentral.
UACGAAGGUCCCAAGCGUUAUCCGGAUUUAUUGGGUUUAAAGGGUGCGUAGGCGGGCUAUUAAGUCAGUGGUGAAAGCCCCAAGCUUAACUUGGGAACUGCCAUUGAUACUGAUGGUCUUGAGUACAUUUGAGGUGGGCGGAAUGUGUCAUGUAGCGGUGAAAUGCUUAGAUAUGUCACAGAACACCGAUUGCGAAGGCAGCGCACUAAAGUGUAACUGACGCUGAGGCACGAAAGCGUGGGGAUCAAACAGG